UAACGCGUGGGUAACCUGCCUCAUACAGGGGAAUAGCAGCUGGAAACGGCUGAUAAAACCGCAUAAGCGCACAGUGCCGCAUGGCACAGUGUGAAAAACUCCGGUGGUAUGAGAUGGACCCGCGUCUGAUUAGCUGGUUGGCGGGGUAACGGCCCGCCAAGGCGACGAUCAGUAGCCGGCCUGAGAGGGUGAUCGGCCACAUUGGGACUGAGACACGGCCCAA
Molecule: ribosomal RNA, 223 nt
Filed under: uncultured bacterium
Lineage: Bacteria
Description: partial 16S ribosomal RNA
Rfam family: Bacterial small subunit ribosomal RNA
Source: RNAcentral